RNAcentral lists this transfer RNA (132 nucleotides) under Vibrio cholerae. RNAcentral describes it as "tRNA-OTHER". It matches the Rfam family "tRNA". Rfam says of the family: Transfer RNA (tRNA) molecules are approximately 80 nucleotides in length. Their secondary structure includes four short double-helical elements and three loops (D, anti-codon, and T loops). The record is from RNAcentral. Lineage: Bacteria; Pseudomonadati; Pseudomonadota; Gammaproteobacteria; Vibrionales; Vibrionaceae.
GCUUCGUUAGCUCAGUGGUAGAGCGCAAGAGCAAAAGAAAUCGUUUCUACGAAAGUAGAGCUGAAAGGCGGGAAACCAACGAUUCGAUUUCUAUUUAGCCAGAGGUCGCGGGUUCAAAUCCUGCACGAAGCU